Non-coding RNA from Chiloscyllium plagiosum (whitespotted bambooshark), 1158 nucleotides. NCBI's taxonomy places the organism in Eukaryota, Metazoa, Chordata, Chondrichthyes, Orectolobiformes, Hemiscylliidae. The record is from RefSeq and is a predicted model, not a curated record.
CAGACUCACAGGUUUAUAGUUCCCAGGAUUCUCCUUAGAAGCCUUCUUACACGAAGUCACAUUUCACAAGUUGAAUGGAGUAAACUGUUUGCAGGUUUUUCCAACUUUUCAACCAUUGCUUCUGCCACACCAAGGAGGGGAAUAUUCUGACCAUGAAGAUCCAGAGUAAUUUUAACUGGCUUUGUUGUAUGCAGACAGUGGGGAUUUCAAUCAUUUUCAGCAAGGGUAACAGAGAAAACAAACUGUAUGAAAAUAUUGCCCAAAGGGGCACUCAAAUGGGGCAUCAGAGAUGAAUGAGAGGUGAAGAGUACUGGAAACAUAUAGAUGAAGGAAUGAUCGCCUUAAGGAAGUGGAGUCUGAGGAAACCCUACCAAAAGGAAGUUUAGAUUCAUCCUUCCUGCUUUUGCUGAUGUGGCCAUGUAAUGCUGGCUCCAAUGGCAACACCCUCAUGGUGUUGUAGAGAAAACAACAGAUCACCGUGAACUUUGAGGAAUACUGUACAACCCCAUUAAUGAGUAGAGUCAUAAAAGCAAUGCUUAAGCAUGUCAUUGAUGUGCUUCAUUGUGCCAGUGUAGCUCCCUUGUACACACAUCCUUAUCAGUUAUAUGGUGGAGGUUUCCUUCUCACCAUGGAGCAGACAUGCAGAUCACAAUGGCAACAAUCAAAAAACUCUGUACGAGUCAUUUUGACACAUCAGGAUUUCUGUAGCACCAGCCUAAAGGAUUUGAAAUUACAACAGCCAAGUAGCUUCUUUCAACUUGUAGAACAUUAGUUAUUUAAAAUAAAUGGACUAAUUUGUCUGUCAGCUCUACCCUCAAAUGCCAAGCAGAUCAACAGAUAUUUGAAUGAUUAGUGUGCUGAAGUAUUUUUUGACCAAGACCACUUUUAUAUCAUGGUUGUCCCAACGUAACCCCAAGCUCUGUAAUACUUUGUUGCAGGGAACAGAGACAAAUAGACUUUUGACCUUGUGAGACAUGUCAAGUGUCAGACCUAAAGGUCUGAUGAUCAUCUUACAAAUAAGAGGUUUCUCCUCAAUAAGACUCUAUCUCCAGAUUACCCCUAAGAUUUCAUUGAACAAUAAAGUCCAAAGAGGAUCGCAGUACAAAUCCCUUUAUACUUUACCUGGGUAUUUACCUGUUUGUACUUGAGGAUAAUAAU